Molecule: ribosomal RNA, 305 nt
Filed under: uncultured bacterium
Lineage: Bacteria
Description: bacterial SSU rRNA
Rfam family: Bacterial small subunit ribosomal RNA
Source: RNAcentral
AGUGAACGCUGGCGGCGUGCCUAACACAUGCAAGUCGAACGGUAACAGUGACUUCGGUCAGCUGACGAGUGGCGCACGGGUGAGUAAUGCAUAGGUAAUGUGCCCCUUGGAUUGGGAUAGCCACUGGAAACGGUGAUUAAUACCAAAUACUCCUUUUUACCAUAAGGUAAUUUGGGAAAUGUUUUUCGCCAAGGGAUCAGCCUAUGUCCCAUCAGCUUGUUGGUAGUGUAAGAGACUACCAAGGCUAUGACGGGUAGCUGGUUUGAGAGGAUGAUCAGCCACACUGGAACUGAGACACGGUCCAG